This 227-nucleotide ribosomal RNA is filed under the name Pseudokeronopsis rubra. RNAcentral describes it as "5.8S ribosomal RNA". The stretch from base 2 to 150 matches the Rfam family "5.8S ribosomal RNA". From Rfam's summary of the family: 5.8S ribosomal RNA (5.8S rRNA) is a component of the large subunit of the eukaryotic ribosome. It is transcribed by RNA polymerase I as part of the 45S precursor that also contains 18S and 28S rRNA. Lineage: Eukaryota; Ciliophora; Spirotrichea; Urostylida; Pseudokeronopsidae. The record is from RNAcentral.
UUCUCAACGAUGGAUAUCUUGGUUCCCACAACGAUGAAGAACGCAGCGAAGUGCGAUAAGCAAUGCGAAUUGCAGAACCGUGAGUCAUCAGAUUUUUGAACGCAAUUGGCACUGGGUGGAAUCCCAUCCAGUAUGUUUGUUUCAGUGUCUUGUAAUCUCCUCACCCAUACCUUAAUGCGAGAGAUCCCCUUCUCUUGCAAAGUAUGAACGCACUCUGAGCUCUGCAG